This 178-nucleotide non-coding RNA is filed under the name Clostridium botulinum. RNAcentral describes it as "T-box sequence". It matches the Rfam family "T-box leader". From Rfam's summary of the family: Uncharged tRNA acts as the effector for transcription antitermination of genes in the T-box leader family. The record is from RNAcentral. Lineage: Bacteria; Bacillati; Bacillota; Clostridia; Eubacteriales; Clostridiaceae.
UAUAUAGUGAUGAUUAAAAGGAGUAAGUAAAGUAACUUUAUAUAGAGAGGAAGUGGUUGGUGAAAACUUCCUAAAGUUUGUACUGAAGGCUGUUUAGGAGCUAUGCUGCAGGAGUUGUGAAUACAGUUUUUGUAUUUAAAUUAGGGUGGUACCGCGGAAUAUAACUUUCGUCCCUUUU